UCUGGGAUAGCUCAGUUGGCAGAGCACGAGACUCUUAAUCUCAGGGUCUGGGUUCGAGCCCCGCAUUGGGCAAAA
Non-coding RNA from Podarcis lilfordi (Lilford's wall lizard), 75 nucleotides. NCBI's taxonomy places the organism in Eukaryota, Metazoa, Chordata, Lepidosauria, Squamata, Lacertidae. The record is from the annotation of a GenBank genome assembly.